CUCUCUCUUAAUAAAUAAACGUGAAAAAAAUAUUUUAAAAAUAAAAAGUUUGAGGCCAACUUAAAAGUAUCUUGUAAGUUGAAACAAACAAACAAAAAACCCUCCAAUUUUCUGGAUGAGUGAAAAGAAUCCUCGACUCGUAAACACUGGCUUUUAGCAUCGGGCGGGUGGUCCUGUAAUGACCCGGCCGGAGCUCCAGGCUUCGUGGGCUCAUCUGUGUCCUUCCCCCCACACGCUUCACCACUGAGGAGCCUUGCAAGGCAGACAAGCUUUCCGAGGUUCCCACCCAGGGGAUUCCUUGUGUGG
Long non-coding RNA from Leopardus geoffroyi (Geoffroy's cat), 306 nucleotides. RefSeq lists it as uncharacterized. The transcript has 3 exons. Lineage: Eukaryota; Metazoa; Chordata; Mammalia; Carnivora; Felidae. The record is from RefSeq and is a predicted model, not a curated record.